GACGGAGGAUGCAAGCGUUAUCCGGAAUUAUUGGGCGUAAAGCGUCCGUAGGCGGUUUCAAAAGUCUGUUGUUAAAGCCCACAGCUCAACUGUGGAUCGGCAAUGGAAACUGUGAGACUAGAGAGUGGUAGGGGUAGAGGGAAUUCCUAGUGUAGCGGUGAAAUGCGUAGAUAUUAGGAAGAACACCAGUGGCGAAAGCGGCUUUCUGGUCCUUAACUGACGCUGAGGCGCGAAAGCAUGGGGAGCGAACGGG
This 253-nucleotide ribosomal RNA is filed under the name uncultured bacterium. RNAcentral's name for it is "partial 16S ribosomal RNA". It matches the Rfam family "Bacterial small subunit ribosomal RNA", at positions 524 to 776 of the family's 1533-position model. The record is from RNAcentral.